GACGAACGCUGGCGGCAUGCCUAACACAUGCAAGUCGAGCGAGCUGAUUCCUUCGGGAUGAAGCUAGCGGCGGACGGGUGAGUAACACGUGGGCAACCUGCCUCAUAGAGGGGAAUAGCCUUCCGAAAGGAAGAUUAAUACCGCAUAAGAUUGCAUCUUCGCAUGAAGAAGCUAUUAAAGGAGCAAUCCGCUAUGAGAUGGGCCCGCGGCGCAUUAGCUAGUUGGUGAGGUAACGGCUCACCAAGGCGACGAUGCGUAGCCGACCUGAGAGGGUGAUCGGCCACAUUGGGACUGAGACACGGCCCAGACUCCUACGGGAGGCAGCAGUGGGGAAUAUUGCACAAUGGGGGAAACCCUGAUGCAGCAAUGCCGCGUGAGUGAUGACGGCCUUCGGGUUGUAAAGCUCUGUCUUCGGGGACGAUAAUGACGGUACCCGAGGAGGAAGCCACGGCUAACUACGUGCCAGCCGCCGCAGUAA
This 478-nucleotide ribosomal RNA is filed under the name uncultured bacterium. RNAcentral describes it as "partial 16S ribosomal RNA". It matches the Rfam family "Bacterial small subunit ribosomal RNA", at positions 28 to 523 of the family's 1533-position model. The record is from RNAcentral.